RNAcentral lists this ribosomal RNA (469 nucleotides) under uncultured bacterium. RNAcentral's name for it is "partial 16S ribosomal RNA". It matches the Rfam family "Bacterial small subunit ribosomal RNA", at positions 28 to 507 of the family's 1533-position model. The record is from RNAcentral.
GACGAACGCUGGCGGCGUGCCUAACACAUGCAAGUCGAGCGAAUGAAGUUCCUUCGGGAAUGGAUUUAGCGGCGGACGGGUGAGUAACACGUGGGCAACCUGCCUCAUAGAGGGGAAUAGCCUUCCGAAAGGGAGAUUAAUACCGCAUAAGAUUGCAGUAUCGCAUGAUACAGCAAUUAAAGGAGCAAUCCGCUAUGAGAUGGGCCCGCGGCGCAUUAGCUAGUUGGUGAGGUAACGGCUUACCAAGGCGUCGAUGGGUAGCCGGCACGAGAGGGUGAUCGGCCACAUUGGGAAUGAGAUAAGGCGGAGAAUACUAAGGGAGGAAGAAGUGGGGAAUAUUGUACAAUGGGCGGAAGCCUGAUGCAGCAACGCUGCGUGAGGGAUGACGUCCUUUGGGUUGUAAACAGCUUUGGCCUGUGACGAAGCGUGAGUGACGGUAAUGGGUAAAGAAGCACCGGCUAACUACGUG